UAAAGAGGGUUGUGUGGGGCGUACAGCAGGGUGGCAAGGGUACAUGUGUGGGGCAGCAAGAUGGUGGCAGCGUGAGGGGGCCAAGGGGGUGGGUGUGCAAAGCAGUAAUGCGUGUGGCCGGAUAUCAGAUCAUCUACUGCCUAGCCAACAGCAACUCCAGCAUGUUCACCACAGUGGAGAUGGGUGCCAUGGUGGGGCAAUACACGGCCACUGAGCUGGCCCCAGAGUCAGCAUACAUCUUCAGACUGAUGAUCAAGAUGAGGCAGGGCUUGGGGAGCCCCUAGAGGCCAACAUCAUCACCACUGACAAGCGUGGUGGUGCUUCAAGGCUCAGGUGACUUGGCCUCCUUGGCAGCGUCCAAUGUAUCCAGCCUCUGUCUCUUCAGUGCAGAUUCAAGUGCAGCACGUACAGGAGUGUGACCCCUGUCAUCUCCCUGAUGGAUGUGCAUCACAGCA
Mustela lutreola (European mink) is the source of this 455-nucleotide long non-coding RNA. RefSeq lists it as uncharacterized. Lineage: Eukaryota; Metazoa; Chordata; Mammalia; Carnivora; Mustelidae. The transcript has 3 exons. The record is from RefSeq and is a predicted model, not a curated record.